AAAAAUUUAGUUAAAAUAUAACAUUAGCCUGUCAAGCUAAAAUUAUUCUCUACAAUAAUUUUUA
Molecule: transfer RNA, 64 nt
Filed under: Trigonopterus jasminae
Lineage: Eukaryota; Metazoa; Arthropoda; Insecta; Coleoptera; Curculionidae
Description: tRNA-Asp
Rfam family: tRNA
About the family: Transfer RNA (tRNA) molecules are approximately 80 nucleotides in length. Their secondary structure includes four short double-helical elements and three loops (D, anti-codon, and T loops). Further hydrogen bonds mediate the characteristic L-shaped molecular structure. tRNAs have two regions of fundamental functional importance: the anti-codon, which is responsible for specific mRNA codon recognition, and the 3' end, to which the tRNAs corresponding amino acid is attached (by aminoacyl-tRNA synthetases). tRNAs cope with the degeneracy of the genetic code in two manners: having more than one tRNA (with a specific anti-codon) for a particular amino acid; and 'wobble' base-pairing, i.e. permitting non-standard base-pairing at the 3rd anti-codon position.
Source: RNAcentral